Molecule: ribosomal RNA, 250 nt
Filed under: uncultured bacterium
Lineage: Bacteria
Description: partial 16S ribosomal RNA
Rfam family: Bacterial small subunit ribosomal RNA
Source: RNAcentral
GACGAACCGUCCAAACGUUAUUCGGAAUCACUGGGCUUACAGAGUUCGUAGGCGGUCUGGAAAGUUGGGUGUGAAAUCCCUCGGCUCAACCGAGGAACUGCGCUUGAAACUACCAGACUCGAGGGAGAUAGAGGAAAGCGGAACUGAUGGUGGAGCGGUGAAAUGCGUAGAUAUGUGGAGGAACACCGAUGGCGAAGGCAGCCCCUGGGUCAAGAUUGACGCUCAGCACGAAAGCGUGGGAGCAAACAGG